AUGAAGCCUCGCUGACCCAAAACAGACCAAUAUGUGGUAGUCGAGGGUUGAGGAGUGUAACCGGUAGCUUGAUGUUUGCAGGACAAGGAAGUGGAAACUGUGGUGGUCCCAAGACACUGAGUUCUAGUGUACGAUUUAGUUUCUCUACACCUGUUACACAUCACUUUCAAGCAUGAUUACAGUGGGUCAGGCUCCGGUUCAUCCACCCAUCAUGAUGGUCCAGCAACCGCAGCCGCCGCCGCCCCCGCCGCAGCAACAGACCAUAAUAAUGGGCGGGGCCCCAGCAGCUGAAGCAACAGGAGACUGCCCGAUCUGUAAGAAAGGCAUGAUGUCGAUCUACAUAAACCCCUGCGCUGUGAUCUACGUUAUCAUCCUGACCUUGUGUACGCUCGUCGGCGCCCUCUGUAUAUUGUUUUUCCUGAAGAGGCGAUGCUCAGCGUGCCAUUAUUCUCGAUCCAUCGUCUGUUAGGAGCCCAUGAGAUUCUUUUACAUUUCGUAUGCAAGGUAGAUUAUCACUCGUUUAAAUAAUGUUACAAAAACAAUUUUUCGGUCAAAUUGAUUAGUUAUAUUUCAUACUGUUGAACCAGAAAUUCAUCUAUAUAUAGGCUUUUCUAAAAGUGAAAAAACAAUGAUAUAUGUAUUUUGAGCGAAAAUAUAUUACGAGCACAAUUAUUUAUCCUUUCUCAAGGUACCUUGGUAUCGUGUGUGUGUGUGUGUGUGUGUGUGUGUGUGCUUAUGUUUGUUUGUGUGCGUGCGCGUUGUGUGUGAGCGUCAAGUGCAUGCCGUAUUCUAUCCCCACCAGACGCGUACAACCUGUUGAUGUUUACGGUGUUAAGGUGGAAUAGUGUUAUCACCAAACGCAGCACAAUAAAGGGAAAUCAUAUUGAGCACCCUCAUCCCGAAAAAAAAAAAAAAAAAAUUGGAAGAACACAGUUUAGUAGAAAUUGUUUAGUAGGAGAAUUAAUAAAAGUCGUUUGACUGAUUGAGUGCAGCAGACGGUGAAUUUUUAAGUUUCAUUUCAAUAAUUACAUACAAAUUGACGCAACCUUUUGGCUCACAAUUCUACAUUUCAUUAUGUAAAAACAAGGAAUGACCAUACGAAGCACCGGGAACAACAGAAGUGUCGAACCCAAAACAGCACGACAGAGAAGCUUCUGAAGCUUUCUCUGAACAGACUGAGACUGGGACUGGGACUGGGACUGGGACUGACUAACUUCUCAACCACUCCUGAUUUGUAGCGGGAGGGCCAACCUUUGUAGAGCAGUCAUAGUGUUCUGAAGUGUUUCACUCUGAUUCGAAAUUCUCAUUGACAGCAUUCCUCUAUAGAAAAUGGAAAACGGAGAGAGAAAGAAUUGUGGUUUGGACAGCACGGGUAGUCCACGGGUCACAUUCCUUGCCCAGUCUCCGUGAAGACAGUGUCGUACGUCCAGUGUGCUGCAUCCUCUGCUGGAUUGUGUAGUAACUUAGUGUGUCUUUAAAGUAUUUCGUGGGACAAUGAUUACAAUAGGACAACCAGCUCCACCCUCCACCACUGUCAUAGUGCAAGCUGCGGCGCCUCCUCUCAAACGCAAACAGCCAAGGGGAAACUGCCCACGCUGUAAGAAAGCGGACUUGGAGAAAAGGAAUCCUCCCCCAUUGUUUAUCCUCAUCCUGUGUAUGACCUGCGUCGGUAUCCUGUGUAUCCCGCUCUUGAUGACAAAGGAGUGCCCGAAGUGUAAGCAUGUAGAAUGAACGUGCUUCUAAUAAGUAGUGUUGCCUAAAAAUGUUGUAUAUAUUUUUUAUCGAUAAUUAAAAUGAUUUAAGAAUGAACUUGUAUCAUAGUUUAAGUAUUCGAUUGUCGUAAUUUUAAUGGCGAAUUGGAUUAGUGUCCCGAAUGUUACUUGUGAGUGAUGUUUUUGAUCUCUUAUUUAACUCUUGGUUGAUGCUUUUAAGUUAACUAAAUUUUUACAUUAGUUAAUUUGUAGUUGGUUGCUGAUUUUAUAAGUAGUUUUAGAUAGAAUGUUAGAUUAGAUAGAAUAGUUCUUACUUUGAUUGGUUCUCAAAUGUUACUGGUUCCUUAUUUUGUCAUGAACACAUGAAGAUUGUUUUAAUUAAAUAUGAAUUAUAUCCUUUGAAAA
Portunus trituberculatus (swimming crab) is the source of this 2117-nucleotide RNA transcript. RefSeq lists it as uncharacterized. Lineage: Eukaryota; Metazoa; Arthropoda; Malacostraca; Decapoda; Portunidae. The transcript has 5 exons. The record is from RefSeq and is a predicted model, not a curated record.